CAGGAUGGGGACGAACAGACGGAAACGACUGCUAAUACCGAAUAAGUUCCAAGAGCCGCAUGGCCCAUGGAAGAAAAAGGUAGGGCCUCUACCUGUAAGCUAUCGCCUGAAGAGGGGUUUGCGUCUGAUUAGCUGGUUGGAGGGGUAACGGCCCACCAAGGCGACGAUCAGUAGCCGGUCUGAGAGGAUGAACGGCCACACUGGUACUGAGACACGGUCCAGACUCCUACGGGAGGCAGCAUG
Molecule: ribosomal RNA, 243 nt
Filed under: uncultured bacterium
Lineage: Bacteria
Description: partial 16S ribosomal RNA
Rfam family: Bacterial small subunit ribosomal RNA
Source: RNAcentral